RNAcentral lists this ribosomal RNA (154 nucleotides) under uncultured Acidobacteriota bacterium. Lineage: Bacteria; Pseudomonadati; Acidobacteriota. The record is from RNAcentral.
GGAUUAUUUUUCGAAGGCCGCUGUCGCGAGACGGCGGCCUUUUUUCUUUGGGAAGAGGCCCCUACCCUCCUCGCGGCUCCCAUGACACGCCGGGGUUCGCGCGCGCCUGAGCCGGGUGUAUGAUGCCGGGCGCAACGUCGCAGCACCCCCCCUG